GGCUGGUCCCAGUGUAGUGUUGUUUACAACUAAUUAACCACAACCAAUUACAGAUUCCUUUGUUCCUUCUCCCACUGCUUCACUUGACUAGCCUUAA
Molecule: Y RNA, 97 nt
Filed under: Microcebus murinus (gray mouse lemur)
Lineage: Eukaryota; Metazoa; Chordata; Mammalia; Primates; Cheirogaleidae
Description: Y RNA (ENSMICG00000043373.1)
Rfam family: Y RNA
About the family: Y RNAs are components of the Ro ribonucleoprotein particle (Ro RNP), in association with Ro60 and La proteins. The Y RNAs and Ro60 and La proteins are well conserved, but the function of the Ro RNP is not known.
Source: Rfam by way of RNAcentral